CAAUAGCGUAUAUUUAAGUUGUUGCAGUUAAAAAGCUCGUAGUUGGAUUUCGGUUAAGAGCGACCGGUCCGCCGUUUGGUGUGCACUGGUUGGUUUUAACUUCCUGUAGAGGACGUGCUCUGGGUUUAACGACCUGGACUCGGAGUCUACGUGGUUACUUUGAAAAAAUUAGAGUGUUCAAAGCGGGCUUACGCUUGAAUAUUUCAGCAUGGAAUAACACUAUAGGACUCCUGUCCUAUUUCGUUGGUCUCGGGACGGGAGUAAUGAUUAAGAGGAACAGUUGGGGGCAUUCGUAUUUCAUUGCCAGAGGUGAAAUUCUUGGAUUUAUGAAAGACGAACUUCUGCGAAAGCAUUUGCCAAGGAUGUUUUCAUUA
RNAcentral lists this ribosomal RNA (374 nucleotides) under uncultured eukaryote. RNAcentral's name for it is "partial 18S ribosomal RNA". It matches the Rfam family "Eukaryotic small subunit ribosomal RNA", at positions 592 to 975 of the family's 1831-position model. The record is from RNAcentral.